AAAUAUAAUCUACAUUGGAAGAGAAAUUAGUAAAUGUUAAACAAGGUAUGGUUGGGUUAGUUUUUUUCCGGAUUUGGAGUCUAGGAUGGUGAAAUAUCUAUAGUCUUCAUGAACUUGCUUUUAUUAGUUGUGAAUGUUGUGCAUGAGAUAACUUUACUGGCGAUUUAAACUGAAGUGGUGGCAAAAGUUCGCAGUGCCAGAGAAGGAAGUCAAACAGAAAUGAAACAAGUUAAGAGAGGAAAUGGGAAAGGGCACGGGCAUGCUUUAUAUCAAUUUAUUUUUUACAGCACUAAUAGAUGAAAGAUAUGUUGACUAAAACUGUCUGAUACAAGUCUUAAACUGUUUCUUUCAGUAGAUUUUUGUUAUAUUUUGACAUAGAUAGUGGAUGAAGGGUGUUUUAAGCCAUUUUACUAAUGGUUAUGCUUUCAGGGAUAUUAUGAACAAGCCAUGGUACUAUAUACAGUAUUAAACGUGUGAUAAAGACCUUCUAUCCUGGUUGACCAAACCAAAGCCUACUUUUGUGACAACAUCGUAUAGAUAUUUUUCUGUCGUACAAGGGAAGGAUGUUUAGCCAUUACCUUUCACAAUUAGUUAUCCAAGCUAGCUGACAGAAUGUUACUUUUGUUUUUUCAUCUUCGAAUGAAGUUUUUCACUGAAAAUGCUCACAUGACAUUCUUUACAUUACAAGCAUUUAAUGUUGCACCUUGUCAUAUGAAAUCUAUUAUUUUAAUCAAGUCAGUUUACUUGCCUGUGAGAAAAUAAAACUUGUGUGUAUACACUUCAUUUGUUGGCUAACACUUACGGAAACUUCUCUUGUCAAAUAUGUCAAAAUGUUCUUUAUUGAUACUUUUUGUUGUUUAUACCUCAUGAUUUUAUUGCGGUUUUGAAGGUCCGGAUUUUGGAUAGCGAGUCACCCUCCUUAUAUUCCCUUUGUCGAGCUUGGCUACGAAAUAGUGUGCCGCAUGAGAGUCAGGUUCGUACACACCUUUUUUGUAUUUGAGACUUGGUUACCAUGUCAAGGACCAAACUUCUGUUGAACUCCUGUUGUUCCUGCAUUCCAUCUUUCUGUUUCAGUAAAAUCUUGGUAUGGCAGAUGCUAUUUGGUAGUUCUGGAAAACGUUAAGAUCUCUUUAUUUUGAAGUUAGAAUCACCCUAAGUCUGAACCAUAUGUCCACUGCCAGUAAGGAUUUUUCUGCACCAUCUGUAUGUUGCUUGGUUGUCUUGCCUUCUGAGAUUUGAAACCAGCUGUAUAUACUACAUCACAAAAUAGUAUUUGAUAUUGCUUUUACAAUAUUUAUUUUCUCAUCAGAUCAACAAAAGAAAUAGAAAAUUGCAAAGAUUGGAAAAUUCUUAUUAGUAACAGAGGAUGUGAGAUCAGAUAAAUCAAUUAUUAUGAUUGUUUAGUUGAGGAACAAUAAAUGGUCAAAACAGCAAGAGAAUUGAACAAAUAAGUAGUUUUGAAAAAUGUUGCCAGUAACAGAGGCUGUGGGAUCGGAGAAAUCAAUUAUUUAAGACAAAUUGUUGCUGAGCACAGCAACAGUGAAUUCCUUUCACAUCUACGAGGGACAUCUCUAUUGAUUCUUGUAGUUAUAAUAAAGCAUAGGUAUAUUUGAAGCCCAAAUAUGCCCCUUUAAGUGGAUAAUAACUGUUGACUAUCCAUCUGAGUGCUAAAAUGUAUUGUUUCCUUUAUUGGGAGCCAGGCAUGAUAGGCGUAGUCGAUUUUUGAAGGAUCUUGUUGAGUUGACCAAGUGCUGAGCUAAUUCAUGAAAUAACCGAUUUGAAACUGCUUCGACUUGUCAUUUCUGAUGUCAUUACUUCCUAAUGCAGUUUCUUUGGCAUGUCUGGAAUUUGAUUUCCUUUUGACUGAUUCUACAUAUUAAUGCAGAUAUUUGUCUUCCACAGUUUGGCUUUGAGUUUUUGGUCUGAACGUGAACGAGCUGUGGUGUCAUAAUCGCUACUUGCUUUCGUUGUAUUAGCUACAGAGUACAUGAAACACUCUCGAGCUCUGGUGUCAUAAUCCCUACUCACUUUCGUUGUAUUAGCUACAGAGUACAUGAACACUCUCGAGCUGUGGUGUCGUAAUCCCUGCUCACUUUUGUUGUGUUAGCUACAGACUACAUGAAACAGUCUCCCAUCAAGGCCUUAUUCUUCUCGCUUGUGUCCUUCAACUGAACUAACAAGCUAUUGCCCAAGUCCACCAGCACAACUCCCCUCCCGACNACAGACUACAUGAAACAGUCUCCCAUCAAGGCCUUAUUCUUCUCGCUUGUGUCCUUCAACUGAACUAACAAGCUAUUGCCCAAGUCCACCAGCACCACUCAUCUGCUUUUUUAACCUUUGCAGCCGGUCAUAAUGGAGUCAACUUGAUCGGCAAUUAUUAUCAGUGGCCUGGACAUAUUACUGUACAGCUCUUCCCACCUUCCUGUAUUUUGCAUGGCCUUCGCUUCAAUCAGAGUCAACAAAGCCAAUUGUCUUUCCUAACUUUACAUAAUUUGUUACUCUGUGUUUAAUUUUUAUUAUUCAGGACUGAUGGCUCUCUUAUCGUUUCGUUUUCCAUUCUAUUUGUGACUAAUUCGUUUGUUCAUUUUCAGCCAAAUAUUGGAAACAGUGUUGAGCUUCCAAAACCCUUGCCUGCUUCUAUGAUUGACGCUAGCAUAUUGAGGGACGAUGCAAAUGGCGAUAAGGAUGACGAAAGCAAUGUAAGAGGUUCAUUUUCAAUAUUGAUUUGCCAUCUUAAUUGUAUUAAUAUCUCGUUUUGAUUUCAUACAUGCGGUAGUAUGCCGACAGGCACGAAGAUAAUAGAUUAUUUCAUUGCAGUAAUCUCAUCUUUUCUUCUUAUACCAUGACAAAUUCUAGAAGAUACUAAUGUUUUCUAAAUUUGUAUUUUUCGGGUCAUAUAUGUGAAAUGUGUGAUUAUUCUAUUUCCUCUUGCAGCAUGUACGCUCUGCCGAAGAGUUAUCCACACAAGAUUUACUAAAUGAGCACAUAAAGCGUGGUAAAAAGAUUCGUGCUCGGUGAGUUCCAAUUUCUUUCUAUGGUAUAAUUAUUUAUUGAGCUGCAUACGAGUCAAUAAGAAAAAGUAUGCCAUUAGAUUUAAUAAUUAUAAACUUGAUUUUCGAAGAAACAAUUUUGUUUUCGAAGACUCAUUUUUUGCUUGUUAUGUUUGUUAUAUCAGAUUAUUAAUCGCAAUCAUAAAAGAAGGGAUCGAGUAUAAUGAGUUCCAAUCUACGGUUCUGCAGGUUGAGCAAAGAGCGCCGACUACGGAUCGAGAGGUACAGAGAAAGGCUCACCCUCCUCCUCCCUCCGAACCUUGAGACAGCGCGACACGAAACUGAGUAACUUCGCCUGCUUUUAAUCGCAUAAUCCGUGAAUUUAAACAAUUCUAACAAGAAAAAUAAGGGCUUGUACAGAGCAAUUUAUAGGUUAGGAUUUGUAGGAUGCACUUGUAUAUCCAAUGCUUGAUGUUCCUUUGUUCUUUCGCAGCAUCUGCUGCAUAGUGUUAAUUAGUUUCUACUUUCUGAGCUCCUAGUGGAGUGUAAAUGUUGCAUGUUUGAAGUGAUUCAUCAUCAUAGAGAGAAGGAUCAAAUCUUUUUUUUUUCUGAGUUUGAGCACAGGGUUUCUCUAUGAUCUUACCAUUUUGAAUAUGCAAUAUUUUAACAUGCAUGAAGUGUUUAGAAAUGUGAAUGAUUUAUUAUUAUUAUUAUUUUUAGCAUCAGUUUGAGUUGUUUAACAUCUGAGAUGAGAUCAUGUAGCUACAGCAACCCUUUGAUAUUUACUAGCUUAUCGUUUGCAAAAAUGUAUGAAGACCCCCUCACGUAUAUGCUCGUUAGGACUAGGCCCUUCAACUGUUUUUUUUUUUUUUUAUGGGUAAACUUCAAAUACCACCCCUAUGUUUUGCACUCUCUCACUUUCGUACCAUAUGGUUUAAAGUGUAUCAAGUUAGUAUUUUGUAGCUUUUUUUUUAUUUGUCAGCUCCUCUGUUAAUAUUUCGUUAAAUUAUAUAUAAAAAACUUCAAAUACCUCAUCUAGAUUUAUCGAAUAUUUACUUUAAUACUCUUUAGUUUUAACUUUAUCACUGAUUUAAUAAAAAAAAAUUAGUAGAAUGAAUAAUAAAAAGAGAAAGGUAAAAUCACAGGGUAUUAAAUUGAUAUAUUUUAAAUCACAUAAUUUUGAAGUGAGAAAGUGUAAAACUACAUGGUGGUAUUUAAAGUUUUUUUUUUUUUUAAUUCACAUCCGCUCAACUGCUUCUUUACAAAUUAAAUAAUUUUAGUUUAAAAAGAGUUUUUUUUCUUUCAAACUCAUAUUACUGUUCAUAUCACAUUAAAUAAUUUUAAUUAGUUUUUAAUAAUAAAAUUUAGAGUAAUUAAAUUUUAUAAAAUUUCUAACAAUUAGUAUUAGAACAUUAGGGCUACUAAUCAAAAAAAUUAAAAGGUCAGGGGUCUAUUCUGAAUGGCCAUAGUUGAAGGGCAUGUAUUUUUACCAAAAAAUAAUAAUAAUAAUAAUAAACUCUAAUUUUUGUUUAAAUUAGUUUUAGUUUCAGAUCAAAUAGUGAAAGAAAAAUUAUUUUUAUUUAAACUUUAAUAAAUACAUUUAGGGGCCCUUUGAUUGGAUGUAAUUAUAAAUGCAGUGUAGUUAAAGAUGCAUGCGGUUGAAAAUACAGCAAUUAUAAAUACAUGAAUCUUAUUUGGUUGGAUGUAGUAGAAAGCGCUGCAAGUAUAAAUAAUUUAUUUGGUUGCAUGCAAUUGAAAAAUAAUUUUUAAAAUUUUAUUAUUUUAUAUAUAUGAUGGUGAGAUUACCUCCAAUGUAAAAAAAGAAAAAAAAAAUUUGUUUAAAAAAUAUUGAAAAAGGUAAGCAUACCUUUUAUUUAAAAUUACUCACUCCAAUUGCUGUAGUUGGAACUGCGGUCAAUUAGGGUGUAGUUUGAACUGCAUUGUAGCAGUUGGAGUUAAAUAUAUCAAACCAAUCACGAAAUUUGUAUUUACAUAUAGUUACAACUGCAGUACAGUUACAACUACAUGCAACCAAACCAAACGGCCCCUAAAUGUAGCAGCUCUUCCCUGUUCAUACCGAGCUCCCUCUCUCUCUCUCUCUCUCUCUCUCUCUCUCUCUCGCCAUGUCUCCUCUUUCCGUCUCUUCGCUCUCCUCCUCCUCCAUUCCCACCAUUCCCAAAACCCUAACCCUAACCCCGACCCACCCUCUUCCCCGUCGCCUCCGAUUCAAACACCUACUCCCUCCACGCCGCCCCCUCUCCCUCUCCUCCCCUUCCUCCUACUCCCCUCUCCCCCUCAUCUCCGCCACCUCCUCCUCCAUCCCCGUCGAGGACCUCGUCGAGAGCGACUGGUCCUUCCUCGACCCCCCGGACGACGCCCUGGUGGAGUCCGCGGGCCCCUGCGAGCUCCUCGUCGCCGUCCACGAGUCGCUCUUCGCGCUCGCGAUGAUCAAGGAGGCCCACGAUCGCGUCCGGUGUUGGCAGGGCGGCGCCGCCGCCGUGCCGGAGAAGUUCGCCCCGUUCGACGCCGUGUUCGUUUGCUACUUCCCCGGGAUGGGGCUUUCUAUCGCAGAGCUCUUGGAAUCUCUCGCUCCGCGAUGUUCUCCAGGUUUAGAUUCGUCCUCUUCUUUCUCCUUCCUUGUUAAAUCUGCUUCUGCUUCUGCUUUUAGCAACAGCAUCAUCUAGUCGAGCUUUUGGUGACCAAAAUUUAUCUGAUACUUCUGCUGUACUUGGAAUUAAAGCUGAGAUUCUGAGAUCCAAAAAUAGAAACAUCAAUUUUGUGCUUCUACUUCUUUAGGAGAGAUUAUAUUAGAGGCACUUUAGUAUAACACUUUCCUAUUCAAACACCACUACACCCUUAAGUAGGGCUUGUUUGUCCUAGCUUCUGAAACAACUUAUCUACUCUAAGAAUUUAGGUUGUGGCCAGAAGCUUCUGGCCUGAAAAAUUUUAGAAAAAAAAAUAUUGUUGUGUUUUUUUUUCGAAUAGCUCUACUUCUAACUCCUUUGAAGUUUGUUUCUUUAGUUCAUGUUGUUGGAAUUAGGAAACAGUGAAAAUUUACAAACUAGAUAGCUAACGUAUUCAGAAACCGAAAUUGGAUUGGCUUGCUUGUUUACUAGCCGAGCAGUUCGAUCCUCCUUAAAUCACUUAUUAUAGACCAAUCUUUCAUGAUGGAGUUGUGCAUUAGUGCCUUCCGGAGGUACAGCUAUUUUGACUGAGAGGUUUUCAAGAACACCUUGUUUGUUUGCUAGUAAAUGAGUGUUAGUUCAAGUUAAUUGUAAUGGGAGUAGUCUUCGGUUGUAGAAAACAGCAAUCUUGUAGGUGAUUGUUAUUGCUGGCGCUGGGCGGAGUAAAUAUACGUGGUUAAUUGUUGAAUGUUGUUAGUGAUAGGGAUAAAGAAUCCUGUAAUGGGAUAUCACUUGCGAGAUUGAUGUUCCUUUUUCUGGGAAGAGAAUAGUAAGAGGAGUGAAAAGGAGAAAAACCGGAACAGCAAGAGGGCAUGGAUCAUCGACUCAAAAGCAUUGGUUUUGAAAUGGAAGUAGUUAGGGUUUGAUACUUCGGGAAAUACCUUUAUCUAUCUCUUCCUCUGUGAUUAUGAAUGUAUCCGUGUACUCGGAGAGUAUUUCAGGGCAAUAAUUUUGACCUUUUAUCUGUUGGAUGCCGCAUUGCAAUUCAAGGACGUGUCGAUUACGGAUCGGUUACUUGUGGCAGGCAUUGAGGUUCUUGCUUAUGCCCGCUAUUUGCGAUGUGCAUCCAAUGGAUUAAAAGUUGGAAGUAUUUGCCCUCAAAUUAGAAUUCUAUAUCAAAUUUUUGGGUGAUAUCAUUAUAACUUCUCUGAAGUAAAUUAAUCGGUGUUAGCUUUUCAGGACACUAUAUGAUUAUAGAACUGCCAAACUUCAACCGUAUUUCCGUUGCUACAUGACUAAAUUGCAAAUGACUUGACAGCAACCAACCCUUUCAAUUCGAUUAUACAUUUUUUAUUUUGCUUUUGACGAUUUCUUAUGCUGUUGUUAAGGUGCGAGAGUAGUCAUCUGCUUCGAUCAAGGGAGGCAGGUUGUCGAACAACAUUGGCAACAGUAUCCCGACAUGGUAACCGCCGACUUGCCUGACAAAGCUCUUCUGGAGAAGGCCGCAACGGAGAAUUCGUACCAGAUAACGGAAUUCGUCGAUGAGCCUAACUUCUACCUUGCUGUGUUAAGAUGUCAGAAAUAAGGAUUUUCAGUUCUGCAACAAGUGGUAACAAAGUUUUCUUUCUGGUGUAAAAAAGCAAAUACAAUUUUUUGUGUGCUUCCUUUUCCAGUUCCAUGCCAAUAUAAAUAUUGUUCGAGCAUGCUUGCAUAUGAAUCUUUUCUAAUGAUUUCUCAUUUGAUUCCGGAGUAGGAACAUAGACUAAUCAUUUUGAGUCGAUUAUUCAACCUUUUAAAAUUUCAACUUUAUUAUCCAGUCUUUCAAUUUGUUUGAUUUUACUGACUUUAAAAUUUGAGCUAAUUGCGUAUUUUAAUAAAUUUGAAAUUCUAAGAAUAGAAUGAAAUGUACUAACGUAUUCAAAUUUUAAAGUCAAAAUGUCAUUGACUGUCUCAAAUCAAACAGAUUGAAAGGUUGGAUAAUAAAAUUAAAAUUUUGAAAGAUUAGAUAGUCGACUCAAAAUGAUCUAUAGUUUAUGUAAGUUCUGUACGUUUUUAAAAAACGGAUUACCAAACGCUCUCGCAGCAAAAAUUAUUUUUGGACUUAAAAUUAUUUUCCAGAAUCUGGGCUAAACACCUCCUUCCUACAUCUUGAUUUUCCCUUUAAAUGAUGUAGAAGAUUACAGGGACCUAAUUUUUGUUUUUCAAAGCAGGAGAGACAUGAAAUUAUGAACCCUUUUUAUUUUAAUGGGAAGAAAGAGUGGAAAAGAGUUGUGAAGUUGUGCAAGUAACUUGCCCUAGAUUGGGAGGAUUCUAUUUCCUUAUCUAAUUAUUAUUUUGGAAAAAUUAGUUGGGGCAAUUGCUUAUAUAUACUUCUGAAAAUUUUUCAACUUUCUUAGUAUUAUUAAAAAUAUAUUUCUAGAGUUAAAUUCUCUUAGUAAAAAUCUUAGGAACAGCCAUUAAUUUUAGAAAAUCUCACCGACAGUCCCUAUAGCAAGUGACAAAGGGCUUGGUGGUUGGUACCCGAGACCCAAGUUUGAGUUCUAGUUGAUUCAUAUUUUCAGCUAAAUUUAUUUCUAAAUGAAAUAAACGAAGUGGAUAGCGUGCUACCUAACUCUCUCCUAAUGCAAUUGAACCCCUUAAUAUAAUAAUAUAUAGUAAGUAUAGGGCGAUACCACAUCAUUUAAACAAUAACUAAAAAAAAAAAAAAAAAAAAAAAAAGUUUCAUUUUGCUUUUUUAAAUAUACUUUUCUAUCAUCACUUUAUUUACCCAUAGGUUAGGAACAAAAGAAGUAUUUUAACUUUUUCACUUUUCAAAUAUAUUAUUUUUUUGCUCCAAUUUUCUUAUUUGCCCUUAAGUUAGGGACAAAAUAGGUAUUUUAAUUAGUUUUUAACUAAGGUAGAAAUUUAACUCAGAUUUAACCUGAAUUGACUUAACGGGCACUAAUAGCAGGAAUAUUUUUGAAUAACAGAGAAAUAUAUAAGAGGUACAUUUGAAACAAAAAAAAAAGAAAUAAAUAAAAUAUUUCAGAGGUUUUGAGAGGUAUGUCGG
This 8663-nucleotide long non-coding RNA is filed under the name Ananas comosus (pineapple). RNAcentral describes it as "long non-coding RNA (ACOM_LNC023756)". Lineage: Eukaryota; Viridiplantae; Streptophyta; Magnoliopsida; Poales; Bromeliaceae. The record is from RNAcentral.